AUAUGACGAUGGACAUUGCAAAGAGUGGCGAACGGGUGAGUAACACGUGGGAAACCUACCUCUUAGCAGGGGAUAACAUUUGGAAACAGAUGCUAAUACCGUAUAACAAUGACAACCGCAUGGUUGUUAUUUAAAAGAUGGUUCUGCUAUCACUAAGAGAUGGUCCCGCGGUGCAUUAGCUAGUUGGUAAGGUAAUGGCUUACCAAGGCGAUGAUGCAUAGCCGAGUUGAGAGACUGAUCGGCCACAAUGGGACUGAGACACGGCCCAUACUCCUACGGGAGGCAGCAGUAGGGAAUCUUCCACAAUGGGCGAAAGCCUGAUGGAGCAACGCCGCGUGUGUGAUGAAGGGUUUCGGCUCGUAAAACACUGUUGUAAGAGAAGAAUGACAUUGAGAGUAACUGUUCAAUGUGUGACGGUAUCUUACCAGAAAGGAACGGCUAAAUACGUGCCAGCAGCCGCGGUAAUACGUAUGUUCCAAGCGUUAUCCGGAUUUAUUGGGCGUAAAGCGAGCGCAGACGGUUAUUUAAGUCUGAAGUGAAAGCCCUCAGCUCAACUGAGGAAUUGCUUUGGAAACUGGAUGACUUGAGUGCAGUAGAGGAAAGUGGAACUCCAUGUGUAGCGGUGAAAUGCGUAGAUAUAUGGAAGAACACCAGUGGCGAAGGCGGCUUUCUGGACUGUAACUGACGUUGAGGCUCGAAAGUGUGGGUAGCAAACAGGAUUAGAUACCCUGGUAGUCCACACCGUAAACGAUGAGUGCUAGGUGUUUGAGGGUUUCCGCCCUUAAGUGCCGCAGCUAACGCAUUAAGCACUCCGCCUGGGGAGUACGACCGCAAGGUUGAAACUCAAAGGAAUUGACGGGGACCCGCACAAGCGGUGGAGCAUGUGGUUUAAUUCGAAGCAACGCGAAGAACCUUACCAGGUCUUGACAUCCCUUGACAACUCCAGAGAUGGAGCGUUCCCUUCGGGGACAAGGUGACAGGUGGUGCAUGGUUGUCGUCAGCUCGUGUCGUGAGAUGUUGGGUUAAGUCCCGCAACGAGCGCAACCCUUAUUACUAGUUGCCAGCAUUCAGUUGGGCACUCUAGUGAGACUGCCGGUGACAAACCGGAGGAAGGUGGGGAUGACGUCAAAUCAUCAUGCCCCUUAUGACCUGGGCUACACACGUGCUACAAUGGCGUAUACAACGAGUUGCCAACCCGCGAGGGUGAGCUAAUCUCUUAAAGUACGUCUCAGUUCGGAUUGUAGGCUGCAACUCGCCUACAUGAAGUCGGAAUCGCUAGUAAUCGCGGAUCAGCACGCCGCGGUGAAUACGUUCCCGGGUCUUGUACACACCGCCCGUCACACCAUGAGAGUUUGUAACACCCAAAGCCGGUGGGGUAACCUUCGGGAGCCAGCCGUCUAAGGUGGGACAGAUGAUUAGGGUG
Molecule: ribosomal RNA, 1423 nt
Filed under: Weissella confusa
Lineage: Bacteria; Bacillati; Bacillota; Bacilli; Lactobacillales; Lactobacillaceae
Description: bacterial SSU rRNA
Rfam family: Bacterial small subunit ribosomal RNA
Source: RNAcentral